UACAGAGGUGCCGAGCGUUAGGCGGAAUCACUGGGCUUAAAGCGUGUGUAGGCGGACGCUAAGUACCUUGUGAAAUCCCACGGCUCACCCGUGGAACUGCUGGGUAUACUGGGCGUCUUGAGCCACCUAGGGGCCAGCGGAACAAAUGGUGGAGCGGUGAAAUGCGUAGAUAUCAUUUGGAACGCCAACGGUGAAAACAGCUGGCUGGGGGUGUGCUGACGCUGAGACACGAAAGCCAGGGGAGCGAACGGG
This 252-nucleotide ribosomal RNA is filed under the name uncultured bacterium. RNAcentral's name for it is "partial 16S ribosomal RNA". It matches the Rfam family "Bacterial small subunit ribosomal RNA", at positions 524 to 776 of the family's 1533-position model. The record is from RNAcentral.